GCCCUAAAUCUAGCCUAUAAAUUUUUUAUACAAACCACUAGCAGCCAAAAUAUAUUAAAACAUUUUAACUAUUUAGUAGAGGCGAUCAAAAAAUAUACUAGCGCCACAGAUCAUGUACCGCAAGGGAAAAAUGAAAUAGAAGUGAAAUAAUACUAAAGCACCAAACAGUAGAGCUUAUCCCUCGUACCUUUUGCAUCAUGGUCUAGCCAGUCUAUUCAAGCAAAAUGAUUUUUAGUCUGAACCCCCGAAACUAGGUGAGCUACUUCGAAACAGUCUCAAGGACUAACCCGUCUCUGUCGCAAAAGAGUGGGAUGAUUUCCAAGUAGAGGCGACAAACCAACCGCACCUGGAAAUAGCUGGUUACUCAAGAAAAGAAUAUAAGUUCAACCUUAAGUUUUUUAAUUACACGAAAAGCCCAUUAAACUUAAGAGCUACUCAAAUAAGGCACAGCUUAUUUGAAAUAGGAUACAACCUACAACACAGGGUAAAACUCAUGAACAAGUAACUAGUGGGCCUAAGAGCAGCCACCUUCAAAAAGCGUUAAAGCUUAAUACUUACUCUAAAUAAAUACCUUCACCUUCCCUGAACCCUUCACCAAUAUUGAGUAACUCCAUAAAAUUAUGGAAGUUAUAAUGCUAGAACUAGUAACAAGAAACAGACUUUCUCCAAAAUGCAAGCCUAAGCCACAAUAGACAAUCUAUUGGCAAUUAACGCAAAUGAAAGUAUUAUAGUAACUCUAACAAGAAAAACCUAUACCCUCAUGCGUCACCCUUACACCAGAGCAUUAAUGGAAAGAUUAAAAGAAAAAGAAGGAACUCGGCAAACCCGUGCCCCGCCUGUUUACCAAAAACAUCGCCUCUUGACACAAUAUAAGAGGUCCAGCCUGCCCAGUGACAUAGUUUAACGGCCACGGUACCCUAACCGUGCGAAGGUAGCAUAAUCACUUGUUCUUUAAAUGGGGACUUGUAUCAACGGCAUCACGAGGGUUCUACUGUCUCCUUUCUCUAAUCAGUGAAACUAAUCUCCCCGUGAAGAAGCGGGGAUACCACCAUAAGACGAGAAGACCCCAUGGAGCUUUAAACCCAACUACACCCCUACUUUCCAUAUCCGCUCAACCAACAGGGCCCUGUACGCUUGGUUUUAGGUUGGGGUGACCACGGAGUAAAAUUAAACCUCCACGAUGAACGGGAAUACCCUCUUAUCUAAGAGCCACACCUCUAAGAAUUAGUAUACUAACAUAAAAUGAUCCGAUACUCGAUCAACGAACCAAGUUACCCUGGGGAUAACAGCGCAAUCCAUUUCAAGAGCCCCUAUCGACAAAUGGGUUUACGACCUCGAUGUUGGAUCAGGAUACCCCAGUGGUGCAGCAGCUACUAAAGGUUCGUUUGUUCAACGAUUAAAAUCCUACGUGAUCUGAGUUCAGACCGGAGUAAUCCAGGUCGGUUUCUAUCUAUAAAAAGCUACUCCCAGUACGAAAGGACAAGAGCAGCGCAGCCAAUAUAUAAACAAGCUGCCAAUCACCACUUAUGAGUCCCACUCAAUUAGACAAGAAUUAAAACCAACCCUAGACCAGGGUCU
RNAcentral lists this ribosomal RNA (1578 nucleotides) under Mantidactylus guttulatus. Its description in RNAcentral is "16S ribosomal RNA". It matches the Rfam family "Bacterial large subunit ribosomal RNA", at positions 372 to 2925 of the family's 2925-position model. The record is from RNAcentral. Lineage: Eukaryota; Metazoa; Chordata; Amphibia; Anura; Mantellidae.